Molecule: unclassified non-coding RNA, 200 nt
Filed under: Coprinopsis sp.
Lineage: Eukaryota; Fungi; Basidiomycota; Agaricomycetes; Agaricales; Psathyrellaceae
Description: partial internal transcribed spacer 2
Source: RNAcentral
UUAAGUUCAGCGGGUAGUCUUACCUGAUUUGAGGUCAAAAAUGUCAAGUAUUGCCCGUGUAAGGGACGGUUAGAAGCAGGUUCAUAAUAGUCUUCCAAUCCACGGCGUAGAUAAUUAUCACACCAAUAGAUUAGGGGACCAAACCCACUAAUACAUUUCAGAGGAGCAGACCACAAAAGAGCGGACCUGCAAACCCCCAC